Molecule: ribosomal RNA, 700 nt
Filed under: bacterium
Lineage: Bacteria
Description: bacterial SSU rRNA
Rfam family: Bacterial small subunit ribosomal RNA
Source: RNAcentral
UGGGGUAGGGCGGCAGCUACACAUGCAGUCGGACGGUAGCACAGAGAGCUUGCUCUCGGGUGACGAGUGGCGGACGGGUGAGUAAUGUCUGGGAAACUGCCCGAUGGAGGGGGAUAACUACUGGAAACGGUAGCUAAUACCGCAUAACGUCGCAAGACCAAAGUGGGGGACCUUCGGGCCUCACACCAUCGGAUGUGCCCAGAUGGGAUUAGCUAGUAGGUGGGGUAAUGGCUCACCUAGGCGACGAUCCCUAGCUGGUCUGAGAGGAUGACCAGCCACACUGGAACUGAGACACGGUCCAGACUCCUACGGGAGGCAGCAGUGGGGAAUAUUGCACAAUGGGCGCAAGCCUGAUGCAGCCAUGCCGCGUGUAUGAAGAAGGCCUUCGGGUUGUAAAGUACUUUCAGCGGGGAGGAAGGCGGUGAGGUUAAUAACCUCACCGAUUGACGUUACCCGCAGAAGAAGCACCGGCUAACUCCGUGCCAGCAGCCGCGGUAAUACGGAGGGUGCAAGCGUUAAUCGGAAUUACUGGGCGUAAAGCGCACGCAGGCGGUCUGUCAAGUCGGAUGUGAAAUCCCCGGGCUUAACCUGGGAACUGCAUUCGAAACUGGCAGGCUAGAGUCUUGUAGAGGGGGGUAGAAUUCCAGGUGUAGCGGUGAAAUGCGUAGAGAUCUGGAGGAAUACCGGUGGCGAAGGCGGC